This 2652-nucleotide ribosomal RNA is filed under the name Shigella sonnei. Its description in RNAcentral is "partial 23S ribosomal RNA". It matches the Rfam family "Bacterial large subunit ribosomal RNA". Lineage: Bacteria; Pseudomonadati; Pseudomonadota; Gammaproteobacteria; Enterobacterales; Enterobacteriaceae. The record is from RNAcentral.
AGCGGCGAGCGAACGGGGAGGAGCCCAGAGCCUGAAUCAGUGUGUGUGUUAGUGGAAGCGUCUGGAAAGGCGCGCGAUACAGGGUGACAGCCCCGUACACAAAAAUACACAUAUUGUGAGCUCGAUGAGUAGGGCGGGACACGUGGUAUCCUGUCUGAAUAUGGGGGGACCAUCCUCCAAGGCUAAAUACUCCUGACUGACCGAUAGUGAACCAGUACCGUGAGGGAAAGGCGAAAAGAACCCCGGCGAGGGGAGUGAAAAAGAACCUGAAACCGUGUACGUACAAGCAGUGGGAGCACGCUUAGGCGUGUGACUGCGUACCUUUUGUAUAAUGGGUCAGCGACUUAUAUUCUGUAGCAAGGUUAACCGAAUAGGGGAGCCGAAGGGAAACCGAGUCUUAACUGGGCGUUAAGUUGCAGGGUAUAGACCCGAAACCCGGUGAUCUAGCCAUGGGCAGGUUGAAGGUUGGGUAACACUAACUGGAGGACCGAACCGACUAAUGUUGAAAAAUUAGCGGAUGACUUGUGGCUGGGGGUGAAAGGCCAAUCAAACCGGGAGAUAGCUGGUUCUCCCCGAAAGCUAUUUAGGUAGCGCCUCGUGAAUUCAUCUCCGGGGGUAGAGCACUGUUUCGGCAAGGGGGUCAUCCCGACUUACCAACCCGAUGCAAACUGCGAAUACCGGAGAAUGUUAUCACGGGAGACACACGGCGGGUGCUAACGUCCGUCGUGAAGAGGGAAACAACCCAGACCGCCAGCUAAGGUCCCAAAGUCAUGGUUAAGUGGGAAACGAUGUGGGAAGGCCCAGACAGCCAGGAUGUUGGCUUAGAAGCAGCCAUCAUUUAAAGAAAGCGUAAUAGCUCACUGGUCGAGUCGGCCUGCGCGGAAGAUGUAACGGGGCUAAACCAUGCACCGAAGCUGCGGCAGCGACGCUUAUGCGUUGUUGGGUAGGGGAGCGUUCUGUAAGCCUGCGAAGGUGUGCUGUGAGGCAUGCUGGAGGUAUCAGAAGUGCGAAUGCUGACAUAAGUAACGAUAAAGCGGGUGAAAAGCCCGCUCGCCGGAAGACCAAGGGUUCCUGUCCAACGUUAAUCGGGGCAGGGUGAGUCGACCCCUAAGGCGAGGCCGAAAGGCGUAGUCGAUGGGAAACAGGUUAAUAUUCCUGUACUUGGUGUUACUGCGAAGGGGGGACGGAGAAGGCUAUGUUGGCCGGGCGACGGUUGUCCCGGUUUAAGCGUGUAGGCUGGUUUUCCAGGCAAAUCCGGAAAAUCAAGGCUGAGGCGUGAUGACGAGGCACUACGGUGCUGAAGCAACAAAUGCCCUGCUUCCAGGAAAAGCCUCUAAGCAUCAGGUAACAUCAAAUCGUACCCCAAACCGACACAGGUGGUCAGGUAGAGAAUACCAAGGCGCUUGAGAGAACUCGGGUGAAGGAACUAGGCAAAAUGGUGCCGUAACUUCGGGAGAAGGCACGCUGAUAUGUAGGUGAAGUCCCUUGCGGAUGGAGCUGAAAUCAGUCGAAGAUACCAGCUGGCUGCAACUGUUUAUUAAAAACACAGCACUGUGCAAACACGAAAGUGGACGUAUACGGUGUGACGCCUGCCCGGUGCCGGAAGGUUAAUUGAUGGGGUCAGCGCAAGCGAAGCUCUUGAUCGAAGCCCCGGUAAACGGCGGCCGUAACUAUAACGGUCCUAAGGUAGCGAAAUUCCUUGUCGGGUAAGUUCCGACCUGCACGAAUGGCGUAAUGAUGGCCAGGCUGUCUCCACCCGAGACUCAGUGAAAUUGAACUCGCUGUGAAGAUGCAGUGUACCCGCGGCAAGACGGAAAGACCCCGUGAACCUUUACUAUAGCUUGACACUGAACAUUGAGCCUUGAUGUGUAGGAUAGGUGGGAGGCUUUGAAGUGUGGACGCCAGUCUGCAUGGAGCCGGCCUUGAAAUACCACCCUUUAAUGUUUGAUGUUCUAACGUGGACCCGUGAUCCGGGUUGCGGACAGUGUCUGGUGGGUAGUUUGACUGGGGCGGUCUCCUCCUAAAGAGUAACGGAGGAGCACGAAGGUUGGCUAAUCCUGGUCGGACAUCAGGAGGUUAGUGCAAUGGCAUAAGCCAGCUUGACUGCGAGCGUGACGGCGCGAGCAGGUGCGAAAGCAGGUCAUAGUGAUCCGGUGGUUCUGAAUGGAAGGGCCAUCGCUCAACGGAUAAAAGGUACUCCGGGGAUAACAGGCUGAUACCGCCCAAGAGUUCAUAUCGACGGCGGUGUUUGGCACCUCGAUGUCGGCUCAUCACAUCCUGGGGCUGAAGUAGGUCCCAAGGGUAUGGCUGUUCGCCAUUUAAAGUGGUACGCGAGCUGGGUUUAGAACGUCGUGAGACAGUUCGGUCCCUAUCUGCCGUGGGCGCUGGAGAACUGAGGGGGGCUGCUCCUAGUACGAGAGGACCGGAGUGGACGCAUCACUGGUGUUCGGGUUGUCAUGCCAAUGGCACUGCCCGGUAGCUAAAUGCGGAAGAGAUAAGUGCUGAAAGCAUCUAAGCACGAAACUUGCCCCGAGAUGAGUUCUCCCUGACCCUUUAAGGGUCCUGAAGGAACGUUGAAGACGACGACGUUGAUAGGCCGGGUGUGUAAGCGCAGCGAUGCGUUGAGCUAACCGGUACUAAUGAACCGUGAGG